RNAcentral lists this ribosomal RNA (305 nucleotides) under uncultured bacterium. RNAcentral describes it as "bacterial SSU rRNA". It matches the Rfam family "Bacterial small subunit ribosomal RNA", at positions 338 to 640 of the family's 1533-position model. The record is from RNAcentral.
CCUACGGGGGGCAGCAGUGAGGAAUAUUGGUCAAUGGGCGAGAGCCUGAACCAGCCAAGUCGCGUGAGGGAAGACGGUCCUAUGGAUUGUAAACCUCUUUUGUCGGGGAGCAAAAAGGCCUCGUGAGGCCACAAGUGAGAGUACCCGAAGAAAAAGCAUCGGCUAACUCCGUGCCAGCAGCCGCGGUAAUACGGAGGAUGCGAGCGUUAUCCGGAUUUAUUGGGUUUAAAGGGUGCGUAGGCGGACUGGAAAGUCAGCGGUAAAAUCGAGAGGCUCAACCUCUUUCCGCCGUUGAAACUGUCGGU